UGGGGAAUUUUGGACAAUGGGCGAAAGCCUGAUCCAGCAAUGCCGCGUGUGUGAAGAAGGCCUUCGGGUUGUAAAGCACUUUUGUCCGGAAAGAAAUCCUUGGCUCUAAUACAGUCGGGGGAUGACGGUACCGGAAGAAUAAGCACCGGCUAACUACGUGCCAGCAGCCGCGGUAAUACGUAGGGUGCAAGCGCUAAUCGGAAUUACUGGGCGUAAAGCGUGCGCAGGCGGUUUGCUAAGACCGAUGUGAAAUCCCCGGGCUCAACCUGGGAACUGCAUUGGUGACUGGCAGGCUAGAGUAUGGCAGAGGGGGGUAGAAUUCCACGUGUAGCGGUGAAAUGCGUAGAGAUGUGGAGGAAUACCGAUGGCGAAGGCAGCCCCCUGGGCCAAUACUGACGCUCAUGCACGAAAGCGUGGGGAGCAAACAGGAUUAGAUACCCUGGUAGUCCACGCCCUAAACGAUGUCAACUAGUUGUUGGGGAUUCAUUUCCUUAGUAACGUAGCUAACGCGUGAAGUUGACCGCCUGGGGAGUACGGUCGCAAGAUUAAAACUCAAAUGAAUUGACGGGGUCAUAGCUGUUUCCU
This 585-nucleotide ribosomal RNA is filed under the name uncultured bacterium. Its description in RNAcentral is "partial 16S ribosomal RNA". It matches the Rfam family "Bacterial small subunit ribosomal RNA", at positions 355 to 1375 of the family's 1533-position model. The record is from RNAcentral.